GAAGAGAGGAAGAGUGGUACUGGAAAGAGAGGAAGAGUGGUACUGGAAAGAGAGGAAGAGUGGUACUGGGAAGAGUGGUACUGGAAAGAGAGGAAGAGUGGUACUGGAAAGAGAGGAAGAGUGGUACUGGAAAGAGAGGAAGAGUGGUACUGGAAAGAGAGGAAGAGUGGUACUGGAAAGAGAGGAAGAGUGGUACUGGGAAGAGAGGAAGAGUGGUACUGGAAAGAGAAGAAGAGUGGUACUGGAAAGAGAGGAAGAGUGGUACUGGGAAGAGUGGUACUGGUAAGAGAGGAAGAGUGGUACUGGGAAGAGUGGUACUGGUAAGAGAGGAAGAGUGGUCUGGGAAGAAGAGGAAGAGUGGUACUGGAAAGAGAGGAAGAGUGGUACUGGGAAGAGAAGAAGAGUGGUACUGGAAAGAGAGGAAGAGUGGUACUGGAAAGAGUGGUACUGGUAAGAGAGGAAGAGUGGUACUGGGAAGAGAAGAAGAGUGGUACUGGAAAGAGUGGUACUGGUAAGAGAGGAAGAGUGGUACUGGGAAGAGAGGAAGAGUGGUACUGGAAAGAGAAGAAGAGUGGUACUGGGAAGAGAGGAAGAGUGGUACUGGAAAGAGAAGAAGAGUGGUACUGGGAAGAGAAGAAGAGUGGUACUGGGAAGAGAAGAAGAGUGGUACUGGAAAGAGAAGAAGAGUGGUACUGGAAAGAGUGGUACUGGGAAGAGAAGAAGAGUGGUACUGGGAAGAGAGGAAGAGUGGUACUGGAAAGAGUGGUACUGGGAAGAGAAGAAGAGUGGUACUGGAAAGAGAAGAAGAGUGGUACUGGGAAGAGAAGAAGAGUGGUACUGGGAAGAGAAGAAGAGUGGUACUGGAAAGAGUGGUACUGGGAAGAGAAGAAGAGUGGUACUGGGAAGAGAGGAAGAGUGGUACUGGAAAGAGUGGUACUGGGAAGAGAAGAAGAGUGGUACUGGAAAGAGAAGAAGAGUG
Long non-coding RNA from Oncorhynchus tshawytscha (Chinook salmon), 979 nucleotides. NCBI's taxonomy places the organism in Eukaryota, Metazoa, Chordata, Actinopteri, Salmoniformes, Salmonidae. The record is from Ensembl.